GACGAACGCUGGCGGCGUGCUUAACACAUGCAAGUCGAACGGAAAGGCACUGCUUUUGUGGGGUGAUCGAGUGGCGAACGGGUGAGUAACACGUAAGUAACCUGCCCUAGACUUUGGGAUAACUUCAGGAAACUGGGGUUAAUCCAAGAUAGGAGCCCCUGCAGCAGGGAGGGGGUUGGAAAGUUUCGGCGGGUGGGGAUGGACUCGCGGCUUAUCAGCUUGUUGGUGGGGUAGUGGCUUACCAAGGCUUUGACGGGUAGCCGGCCUGAGAGGGUGACCGGCCACAUGGGGACUGAGAGACGGCCCAGUGUCGUACGGUAGGCAGCAGUGGGGAAUAUUGCACAGUGGGCGGGAGCCUGAUGCGGCAGCGCCGCGUGCGUAAAGACGGCCUUCGGGUUGUAAACCGCUUCCGCCUGUGACGAAGCGUUUGUGACGGUAAUGGAUGAAGAAGCACCGGCUAACUACGUG
Molecule: ribosomal RNA, 468 nt
Filed under: uncultured bacterium
Lineage: Bacteria
Description: partial 16S ribosomal RNA
Rfam family: Bacterial small subunit ribosomal RNA
Source: RNAcentral